Molecule: non-coding RNA, 2860 nt
Organism: Oryctolagus cuniculus (rabbit)
Lineage: Eukaryota; Metazoa; Chordata; Mammalia; Lagomorpha; Leporidae
Source: RefSeq, a predicted model, not a curated record
GCUCAUCUUCUAAGGUUGAGAGGAUCAAAUGGAAUGAUUGAUAGAUUCAGAGCGCGCAGCAUAGCCUGCUCAGGAGCGCCCUCUACUGUUUUCUUUUUGCUGGCGUGUCUGAAGAGCAGUUGGGCGGUUUGAGAGGGAGCCAUCCAGGCGCAGGAGGGAAGAGAGAAUUUUCUGGCCCCACUAUGCGAGCGGGAAAUGUCCCCUCAAGACCCGGCUCCAUCACCACGCUCACCAAACCAAUGAAUGAAUGACGCCGCUCGGGGCACUAGGAGGGGACGAUGACGCCUGCACUGCUGCGCGCCUGCCCACAGCCCUGCCAGGGGAGACCCAGGCGGCCACCAGACCCCCUCGGAGCUGCUGCUUCCUCCAAGCCCAGCCCGCUGAGGCCGCCCCCGGACCUUGUCCCCUCCCCGGCCUGUGCGCUGGCGCCCCCCCCCGGCUUCUCCCUCGGAUCUUUCCACACCUGGCUCAGGUGUUACCUCCCGGGCUCCCCGCAGGGUGUCCGCAGGGGUCCUGCCACGCUGCUCACGCGUGGGCGUCCUGGCGCGUGACCCCAGCUCUCAGGGCGGUUGAUGACUGCGGUCCGACACACCCAGCCCCCGGGGGCUGCUGCCUGGUGGUAUCUCCCUCCUGUAACACCACACCCCAUCCCCAGUCAGGGAGGACAAAGCGCUGGCUUCCUGGGAAGCCCCAACAGCCGCCAGCUACCCGGACAGAAUACCUCCUCCUCCCCCAGCCCGGCAUCAAACACUUUCUCCACACGUGCUCAUUUUCUGGAAGUAACAGGUGCUGAUGACGAUGUGAAGAAGGGAUCACCCUACUCUUGUUUCAUGGAUGCUAUACUGUGUCAACAGCUGGAGUGAUUUUUUUUUAAAGGUGUAUUUAUUUGAAAGAAUGAGAGGAGAGGAGAGGAGAGAGAGAAGGAGAAAGAGAGAGAGAGAUCUAUCUACUGGUUUCCUCCCUAAAUGGCCAGAGCUGAGCCAGGUCAAGGCCAGGAACUCCAGUGGGCCAUACACAGAGACCACCUGUGCUGUUUUUUAAAAAAAGAAAGCCCUUUGCCAUCUGUCCAGAUAUGUGAAGAGAUUCCAGUCUUACCAAGGCGCCCACUCACAGCCCCAGCAACAGAACAAUGGACAUGUUCUCUCGGCAUAAGAUGGGCCUCCCGUCCCCUCCCCUCCCCCCAGACUCUCCCCUUGCUCUGCGUGGACGCCGCCUUCUCAGCAACCUCAGGUCACGCCUGCCCACCUUGGCCUUGGCAGUACAGCGCAGCCACCCAGUGACGGGCAGCACACUGCCUCUCACCAUUUUCUGUGGCAGCCAGCGCUGCAGCUUCCAAUCUUGCUGGUUUCUCCUCUGUGCUGGCUUUGCAACUCACCAUUGUGCUUCUCACCAUUUCCUUCGAUUUUGAUUCAAGGCCGCAGGUUCCCGGCAUUUUCCCCAAGGUUCUGUGGUUGCUCUGUGUCCACAGCACCACCGGGGCAGCUGGCACACGGUGUGCACUCACAGACCAGUCUUAGGAGUCGAAGGAUUUUUUAGAAUCUGCGGAAAUUUGGCGUCAGUCUUUCUCUGAGGAUUUCUUUCACGCUCAUGGUUCUGUAAGGGGCUGGAGGUGAGAGACGGUCGUGAGGAACUCAGGAGGAGCUGGGUACUUCUCGUCUGUUGGGCCGGGACUGUUCAUUACCCUGAGCGCCAUACACGUCCAUCCUUGGGAUCCUCCUCUUCUCCUCUGUGUCUGGAGACACGGGAUACUCUCUUCUCUCCUUUGUAGCUUGCUCAGUCGUGUGUGACUUUGCUGUGUGCUGCCUUGCAAGACUGAUCAAGGCUCUGGUCAUUAGUGAGGAGUGACACGUGUCGUGAAUUAGCGAGAAGCCCAUCAGUGUCCAGCCCAGAGCUGUCUCUGGACGCCUCCCGACUCACCCCGACCCGUGUGAGGUCCUUUUCUGAAUACACCCCGACGCCUGUCCUGGGUGCUACAUCGGCCAUGCAUUCAUGUGCUACAGUUGCCAUGCAUCGGUUUUGGACGCCUCUUUCAGUAAACAUGAAGCGCCAUGCUGGGGACCAGGUCUCUUUCUUUGCUCUCUCCUCUGCACGGUGCCCAGAGCACUUGGGGCUCAAGGACCAGCUGUUGAGCCAACGAAUGAAGGCAUGACGGCCUGUCAGAGCCCAGCUGCUCAAAGGUGUGGCUGAUGGUGUCCAUCCAGGGUCAACAGCUCCCACGCACAGCUCACCUUAUUCUCCCGCCCAGACGUAAGUGCCCCGCGACCUAACAAGCGAUCAGGAAAACGCGCAUUUCCCAGGCAGGCACUUUCUGAAGUUGGCUCAAGAGGGGGGAAAUGAACAUCCGACAUGAAGUUAAUUUAUAAAUCAGUUUAUUUACAGAUUUUACCCUUUCUUAAAGUACAUUUUAGUUAACAAAUCUAUGUACACAGGUGUACAUGGGGAUGCAUCCCGGUUAUUUUACAGAUCAUACUUACACGCCACACCCUUGAGUCUGCUGUGCAUGGCUGCACUGGGUGUGACUGUUGGCUGAAAACGGCCUGAUGCCCAGGCUAUUUACACGCACACAGUAAACGGGUUUGUUUUUUCAUGUCUGCACAGUACAGUACACGCGAGGAGGCCAGGCCCCCCAGAGAACGCUUUGCAAUGUGUUACCAAGAAGGCUUUGCAAAGUCCAAAAGGAAAAGCUGUCACACAGAGGUUAAUUAAAAUGACAGAACCUCCUUUACAUCAGUUUACAAUUGUUUCUUCACAUUUUUAUAAUACAAAGAUAUUUUAUUGAAUUGCUGCACAACCAGUUUAAGAUGAUUUGUAAACAUGUAAUCCCUACAAUUUGCAUUAAACAUCAUUGUAGUUGCUAUCA